GGUUGAUCCUGCCAGUAGUCAUAUGCUUGUCUCAAAGAUUAAGCCAUGCAUGUCUAAGUAUAAAUGAAUUUAUAUAGUGAAACUGCGAAUGGCUCAUUAAAUCAGUUAUAGUUUAUUUGAUAGUACCUUACUACUUGGAUAACCGUAGUAAUUCUAGAGCUAAUACAUGCAUCAAACCCGACUUUUCGGAAGGGUUGUAUUUAUUAGAUACAAAACCAAUACACCUUCGGGUGCUAUUUCGGUGAUUCAUAAUAACUUCGCGAAUCGUAUGCCUUCGGGCGACGAUGAUUCAU
This 293-nucleotide ribosomal RNA is filed under the name uncultured eukaryote. RNAcentral describes it as "partial 18S ribosomal RNA". It matches the Rfam family "Eukaryotic small subunit ribosomal RNA", at positions 6 to 298 of the family's 1831-position model. The record is from RNAcentral.